AUUAUCCGCCACUACGCCUUUACCGAUCCGAAUCCCACUGCUUCGAUUGUGUUCCAAGGAACGGUCGUCAACGUCCAGCCGUCUCCUGUGCUUGCAGCUUUUAGCUCGCGAGGACCUAAUCCCAUAACGCCAAACAUUCUCAAACCGGACUUGAUCGCUCCUGGAGUCAAUAUCCUCGCCGCGUGGACCGGAGCUGUGGGACCGUCCGGACUAGCUUCGGAUACUCGCCGCGUGGAAUUCAACAUCAUCUCAGGAACGUCCAUGUCUUGCCCUCACGUCAGCGGUUUAGCGGCUCUUCUCAAGUCUGUAUAUCCCGAAUGGAGCCCCGCGGCUAUUCGAUCGGCUCUCAUGACCACCGCUUAUAAUACAUACAAAGACGGAAACCCGAUCAUUGACAUCGCGACGGGGAUACCUUCAACGCCGUUCGAGCACGGUGCAGGACAUGUAUCGCCAACGACGGCCGUCAAUCCAGGACUCAUCUACGAUCUAACGACGGCCGAUUAUUUAGGUUUCCUCUGCGCAUUGAAAUAUAAUUCGUCGCUGAUCAGAAUCAUAUCGAGAGGCAACUACACUUGCGACCCAAGCAAAACGUACUCCGUCGCUGAUCUAAACUAUCCGUCGUUUGCCGUUAACGUCGACGGGUCCAGCACGUACAAGUACACACGCACGGUCACAAACGUUGGAGGAGCUGGGUCAUACUCGGUUAAAGUAACGUCGGAGACAACAGCAGUCAAGAUUUCGGUUGAACCGGCGAUUUUGAAUUUUAAAGAAGUGAACGAGAAGAAAUCUUAUGAGGUAACGUUUACCGUUGACUCGUCUAAGCCGUCUGGGUCUAACAGCUUUGGGAGCAUUGAGUGGUCAGAUGGGAAACAUGUGGUGGCCAGUCCCGUGGCGAUUAGCUGGCCAUAGGUGGUCGAUUGUGACUAGCAGAUAUUGUAAUGCUACUUUCAUAAGAAUUCUGUUUCGGUUAAACGGCAUGCAGUCUGCUUUGUUGGUAAUUUAUCAUGCGACUUGAAUAUUUAAUGAAAACUAUAAAAAAGGGUUAAGACUAUUUUAGCUGGCUAGUGUGUUAUGACUAUUUCUAUUUACUAGGCUGUGGACAUUUAUACUGACAUUUAUUAAAUUAGUUUAUGAGAUACGAAAUAUACUAGGCAUGCAAUACUAGUUCAUGAUUAAUUAAUGGCCAAUCUUCUCUUUUUUUUUGCUGAAAUUAAUGGUCAAUCUUGAUUCACGUUGCAUGAAUGUGAACCACUCUACGUAGGAAACUCUCAGCAAUCAACUACCUCCAGUGUAUCAUAACAAUGUGAUUACGAUAAGUAUAAAAAUAUGAAUCUAAUAAGGUUGAAAAGACUCUAAUUAAGAUCUAAUGAUAACCAACACGAGGUUUCUAUUUGAAGAACCAACGACAAGAAGUUUAUCAAUAUGAGGUAAUAAGGAGAUCCAUUGAAAUACUUAUCUUCAAACAAACUGUUAAAAUGUAUGGCUUUUGUUAAUAGUAAACUCACCUCUUUCCAUAAAUUACACAAAUUUGCAGAUAAAAAAAUCCAGAAGAAAAGAAAACAUAAAAAUUCAUAUCCCCUAUAUAUUAAAAGAGAAACACUACAACAUAUUUUUGUAGCCACAUGUCAUCACCACAAUCAUUCUAAAAAUCCUUAGAAAAAUAUGUUGGUCCAUAUAAAUAUAUAAUAAGUUUUUUUAUUAAACUAACCAUAAAUUAAUCAUAAAUGUUUUUCAUUGUUUCCUUAAAUAAAAAUCACGGAAUUACCUAAUGUGGCUAAAGUAUAUAUGAUAAUUAAUGAUUUUGAAUAAUAAAGAUUUGAUAAAAAUCAGUCUAUUCUCUAUCAUUUUUAAUUCAUUUUAAAAUAAAUUAAAUAACCACAUUAACUAUAUAAUAAAAAUUUAGAUUUUGCCGUAUAUGUUAUAUUUUGAAUUUUAAAAAACGAAUAUAAAUGACUAAAGUUGUUAAAAAUCUCACACUGAAAUUUUUGUGAUCCAUGGUUUAAAAUUUAUGUUAUAACAAGAUACAAAUGAUUACGAAAUUACAUAAGUAAGAAGUCUCAUUUAAUAAAUAUCAGAUAUAUGCAUAUUAAUAUUUUUUAAAAAUAAAUUAUAUACCAUAUAAAAUACAUAAGUAUUUUAAUUUCGAAUUUUAUUUGAAAUUUUUUGAUAAACAUUUUGAACAAUUAUUGACAACUUAAUAUUUAGAUUUUAAACUUUGCAUUGAAUGUUUUUAAAAUUAUAAAUUACUAAAAGUAUUAAACAUCCCAUAAAUUUUUUAUUGUUAUCAUUGAUUUAAAAUUUUUGUUAUAAGAAAAAUACAAACGAUCAAAAAUAAUAUGAGUAUAAAAUAUUUUUUAACGGAUGUAAAUAUUAAAAAUGUACUAUAUAUCUAUGUUAAUAUCAUUUAAACUUAAUUUUAUAACAUAUAAAAUAGAAAAAAAUAUUUGUCUGGAUAAAAAAAAUUAUUUAAGUAUUUGUACCAAUUUAGUUAUAUACGUAAUAGUUACUAAAUUUUUAAUUAUUCAAUAUGUAUAUAUUAUUUUAUAAUAUGUAAAAAAAUAUAUAAUACUUAAAAAUGAUUUAUAUAUAAUAUUCAUCCCGUGUAAUGCGCGGAUCUUAACCUAGUUUUAAUAUUAUUUAAGCUUAUUUAAAACAUAUAUAUGUAUAUUUAAAUAAACGAUUUUAAUCAAACUGAAAAAUCUAUAAUAAGUAAGUCACUUAAGUUCUCGACUUAUAAUUUGAAACAAAAAUAAAUUCAUUUUGUGUUAAUUGUCAAAUUAUUUCUAUUCCAUCGAAAGUCAACAGUUAAAUAUAACUAACAUUGUUGACUUUUUGUUGUAUAAAAAUUGUUUGCUUAAUGAGUUAUAUUCGUGUUUAAACGAAAUUAAUGAAUAAAAUGAUGCGUAUAUGCGUUGAAGUUAUUUUGAUUUAAAUUUGAAACUUGAGUACUAUUUUGUUAAUUUCUCUCUAAGAUAAGAGAUAAAAAAAAGUAUAGAUUUUACUAUGAAUAAAUAGACGAUCUUCAUCACGAGUUACUACACAAAGUAUAUAUUUACUUCAUUGCCAGAAGCCGUAACUGAAGGGAAUCAGUAGACAGUAGUAGUAAUGAUGCAAAGUGCAUCAGCUGCAAAGAAGAACUGGAAGAAACGAAGUGUGCGCCCAAGUAAAGUUGCAGGCCUCCUCACAUGUGGCUGAUUAUCUACUUGUGUAGCUGUAGCAGCUGGAGGAGGAUCUUCCACGGGAUGAACCGAUGCAUGACUCACACUCAUUUCCUUCUCUUAUUAAAUAAUAUUGAUACUUCCCCCUUUCGAAUCUUCUCAUACUUCAGAUCUAAUCUGAACUUCUUAUAAGGUUAAAAGUUUUCAACUAGUAGUUUCGUUCAGAGUGAGAAAUGAGAUCCAAUUAAAUUUUCUUGUGUUGUAACAAGUCUCGACCGUAUACAAUCUUUUAAGUUUCAAACAAGUCACAGUAUAUACCGAGUUAAAGUACAAACAGAAACAGAGAAUCUCAAUAUAAAAUUAAUAGCGCAAUAAUAUCUCAAGAUAAUACUUAAGUCUAGUAAUUACUGUAAUUGGAUGUUACGCAUUGCGGAUGGAAGAAUGCAAAUAGGUGGGGGCACAUAUAUAUAAAAUAUUUUUCAGUUGGGGGCAUUUCAUAGAAAGCAUAAGAAUUACUGAAGAAAAUUUUAAAAUGAGAUGAGGGCACGUGACCCCAUACCCUUGGCUGUACGUCCGCCCCUGGGCAUAGGUAAACUUAAGUGAACAAAAGUUUUCAAUUUAUAUCAUAUUGGUUUUCUAAUCCCUCAAGGCAUGAGAAUUCUAUCAAACCCACAAGCCGUCAUUAUAGUCUGAAACAAGUUGCAGUAAAUAUCAUAGUUAAUGACGUUAAUACUAGACAGAAACAUAGAUUCUCAAGAUAAUAAAACAAUAAUAAUCUCGGAGAUAAUGCUAAUAAUUCGUAUAAUUGGAUAUACUAUUUCAUAUUGAACAUAGGAAAAAUUAUGGGAACAAGAGUCUUGAUUUUUUGUCUUGGGGAACAAAAAAGUCUACAAACAUUAAAAUUUACGAAAAAAACAAAAAUGAAUUCAGAGACAAAUCUCUGUCUGUCGAAUUCAGAGACAAAUCAAACAGAAAAAACUAAAGUGAUCACUUUCAAAGCAGAAUCUCACAUUCAAAUCAGAAUAGUGGACAGGAGAGUCUGAUACUAAUAUCUUAUCGCUCACUUCCUCGACUCCAUUUAAACUCUCUAACACCUUCACAUUUCCACACAAUUUAAAAAGAUGACAUAUUCGUUUCUUUCCUCCACUGCUCCCUUCUUUAUCGUUUUUCUGUAUCUCGGUUCCUGCCACGUCUCCAAUGGAGCUCAACAAGCUACUUACAUUGUUCACAUGGCUAAAUCUCAGAUGCCCUCGAGCUUCGAUCAACACUCUCUCUGGUACGAUUCCUCACUCCGCUCAGUCUCAGAAUCCGCUGCAAUGAUCUACACCUACAACAAUGCAAUACAUGGAUUCGCCACUCGGCUUACUCCCGAAGAAGCCGACUCCCUCAUGACCCAACCUGGUGUCAUCUCGGUUCGACAAGAGCAGCGGCACGAGUUACACACCACUCGGACUCCACUAUUCCUAGGUCUAGAUGUACACAACGGAGGCUUAUUCCCCGAAACCAGCACAUCUAGCAACCUUGUCAUCGGAGUUCUCGACUCAGGUGUUUGGCCAGAGAGCAAAAGCUUCUCCGACGAAGGAUACGGCCCCAUUCCGCCUACAUGGAAAGGCGGCUGCGACGCUGGGACUAGAUUCACCAUGUCGCUCUGUAACCGCAAACUAAUCGGAGCUAGAUUCUUCGUUCGGGGUUACGAAGCAAUUAAUGGGCCAGUGGACGAAUCCAAAGAGUCAAAAUCGCCUAGAGAUGACGACGGUCACGGAACACACACGGCGUCAACCGCAGCGGGAUCAGUGGUGGAAGGAGCUAAUCUUUUAGGGUUUGCUAAUGGAACGGCUCGUGGGAUUGCUUAUCGCGCUCGAGUGGCUGUUUACAAAGUUUGUUGGCAACCUGGUUGCUUCAGCUCAGAUAUUUUAGCUGGAAUCGAUAAAGCCAUCGAAGAUAAUGUCAACAUUCUGUCUAUAUCUCUCAGCGGUAUAACGACAUAUUAUACAGACGAUAUUGCCAUUGGAGCAUUUGCAGCCAUGGAAAGAGGGAUCUUUGUUUCUUGCUCGGCUGGUAAUUUUGGUCCCAGCCCUUUCAGUGUAACGAACAUAGCUCCGUGGAUUACUACUGUUGGUGCUGGUACAUUAGAUCGUGAUUUUCCCGCGCUCGCGAUUCUCGGAAAUGGGAAGAACUACACUGGAGUUUCGUUGUUUAAAGGUGAUGAUGAACUUCCGGCUAAAUUGUUGCCAUUUAUUUACGCGGGGAAUGCUAGUGAUGAUGCUAUUGGAUAUCUUUGUUUCCCCGGAACACUAAUUCCUGAGAAGGUAAAGGGGAAGAUCGUAAUGUGCGAUACAGGAGGAGUGGCUCCGGCUAUGAUAGGGGAGGUGGUGAAAAGUGCUGGUGGACUCGGAAUGAUUAUAGCGAAUUUGGCAGGGAGAGGAGAAGAAGUUCAGGCGGAGGCUCACUUUUUACCGGCGACCGCUGUGGGAGAGAAAGCCGGUGACAUUAUCCGCCGCUACGUCUUGACCGAUCCGAAUCCAACGGCUUCAAUUGUGAUCCAAGGCACUGUCGUCAACGUCAAGCCAUCUCCUGUGCUUGCAGCUUUUAGCUCGCGAGGACCUAAUCCCAUAACGCCAAACAUUCUCAAACCGGACUUGAUUGCUCCGGGAGUCAAUAUCCUCGCAGCAUGGACCGGAUCUCUGGGUCCCACCGGACUAGCUUCUGAUACUCGCCGCGUGGAAUUCAACAUCAUCUCAGGAACGUCCAUGUCUUGCCCUCACGUCAGCGGUUUAGCGGCUCUUCUCAAGUCUGUGCAUCCCGAAUGGAGCCCGGCGGCGAUUCGAUCGGCUCUCAUGACCACCGCUUACAAUACCUACAAAGACGGAAACCCGAUCAUUGACAUCUCGACGGGGAAACCUUCAACGCCGUUCGAGCACGGUGCAGGACAUGUAUCGCCAACGACCGCCGUCAAUCCAGGACUCAUCUACGAUCUAACGACGGUGGAUUAUUUAGAUUUCCUCUGCGCAUUAAAAUACAAUUCGUCGCAGAUCGGAGUCGUGUCGAGAGGCAAUUACACUUGCGACUCGAGCAAAACUUACUCCGUCGCUGAUCUAAACUAUCCGUCGUUUGCCGUUAACGUCGAGGGCUCCGACACGUACAAGUACACACGCACUGUCACGAGCGUGGGAGGAGCUGGGUCAUACUCGGUUAAAGUAACGUCGGAGACAACAGCAGUGAAGAUUUCAAUUGAACCGGCGGUUUUGAAUUUUAGAGAAGUGAACGAGAAGAAAUCGUAUUCAGUGACGUUUACAGUUGACUUGUCUAAGCCGUCAGGGUCUAACAGCUUCGGGAGCAUCGAGUGGUCAGAUGGGAAACACGUGGUGGCCAGUCCGGUGGCAAUUAGCUGGACAUAAGAGUCAAUUACAAAUACCUUGAGAAAGAAGAAAGUCACAGAUAUUGUAAUGCCGUUUUUCAUAAGAGCUCUGUUUAGCGAAAACAGCAUGCAGUCUGUUUUGUACGUAAUUUUUAUCACGAGACUUUUGUUAAAAGCAAUUUCACCUAUUGCACAAGUUCAUAAACAUGAGGUAAUAAAAUAUAUCAAUCGAAAUAAACCAAAUAAAUACCUAUCUUCAAACAAACUAUAAAAAUGUAUGGCUUUUGUUAAAAGCAAACUCACCUCUUUCCAGUACACAAAUUUGCAGAGAAAAAUCCAAAAAAAAAAAAAAGAGGAUAAAACAAAUUCAUGAAUAGUAACUCAAUUUUGAUCAACGUCCAAUUAAAACCCUGAUAUGUAAUUUUAUUUUCAGAAACCAAUCGUGGCAUUAUCACUCAGAGACUAAUACAAUGGACCAUUGGACCAACCUGCCAGCUUCUGAUGUUGCUAUAUUUUUAUUUUUAUAAAAAUUAAAACUAAUGUUAGAAGAGAGAAUGUAUCCCUGUAUUGUUAACUAUUGAUAUGAUUUAGUUAGUCUGAUCUGAUGUGAAGACAUGUUAAUUCAUACCAUACAAACCAAAGUCUCAAAUUGCCACCCACAUUAUUUGGAUCCCAACCGUCAAAAGCAUUGGUUAGUUGGUGUCUUCGACAAACUCAUUGAGAUCUUUGCAAAGUAGUUCGUUUCUUUGCUUCUGUCUUGUGAUGAGCCGUAAAGAUAUUAAUAGACUCACAACUUACAUAAACCCUAAACCCUGAUUUUAAAGUUGAGGAGGAUCAUGAACUUUAAAGAUAUUAAUAGACUCGUAACUUUGCUUCUGUUUUGUGAUAAGUUACAGCAUCUGGACGAGGAUCUUCCACCAAUGAACCGAUGCAUGGCUCACACUAAUUUGCUUCUAUUAUCUAAAACAAAUUUCGGGGAAAUAAAGCGAUGAGUAGAGCUUAUUGAUGAUUUUCCCUUUAGAAUCCUCUCACAUUUCAAAUUGUUAUAAGGUAAAAUUUUCUGGCUAGAUUCCAACUAGUAGUUUCGUUCAAAGGGAGAAAAUGAGAUCAAAUUAAAUCGUCUAAUAUUCACUUUGUUUUAAUGGUUUUUAUCCAACCUAUAAACCAUUUUUAUAGUCUCAAACAAGUCACAGUAAACAUCAAAAAGAACACAGGUAAACUUAUGUUCACAGUCACCUAUAAACUAUCUUUAUAGUCUCAAACAAGUCACAGCCAAUAUAUCCAGUAUAGUAAUCAGUGUGAUAUAUUAUUUGAUGUUGAACAUAGGUAAACUUCUCUGAACAAAAGUCUUUAUAUUUUGUCUUUGAACAGAAGUCUUCUAACAUUAAAAUUUACGAAAAGAACAAAAAUAAAUUUAGAGACAAAUCAAAACGGAAAGCAAAACUGAUCACUUUCAAAGCAGAAUAGUGGACAGAAGAGUCUAAGAGCACCUCCAGUGCUUUACAUAACAUAAGUACACCACCAAAUAAUCUUCUAGUUAGAAAUAUGAAUUAAAAGGCUAUAUUCACUUAGUCUUAGAUUUUUAUCAAAACAUAUAAACCAUUUUUAUAGAAACAGAGAAUCUUAAAAUAAUAAAACAAUAAUAAUCUCGAGCUAAUACUGAAAUAUAAUAAUCAGUGUAAUUGAAUAUAUAUUAUUUCAUGUUGAACAUAGGUCAACUUAUGUGAACAAAAGUCUUUUAGGUUUUGUCCUCUUUGAAGAUAAGUCUAUAAACCUUAAAAUUUACGGGAAAAGAAACAAAAUAUAAAUUUAGAGAGAAAUCAAAAUGUGUGUGUGGAAAACCAACAUAACAUACAAACAAAAUGUACUUUAAAGGAAAUUGGAUUUUAUACAACUACACCAAAUAUAAUCUUCUAGAGUGAUAUAUUAAAAGGCUAUAUUCACUUAGUGACUUAGUGUUAAUGUUUUUUGAACAUCAUAAAGGUCUUCUGAAUCCCUCAUGGCAUGAUGAUUUUAUCAAAACUAUAACCGAUCUUUAUCAUCUCAAACGAGUCACAGUAAAUAUCAGAAUUAAAGAGGUAAUACUAAACAAAAACAUAGAAUCUCAAGAAAAUAAACCAAUAAUUGUCUCGAGAUAAUACCAUAGUAUAGUAAAAAAAAAUUGAUAAUCCGGGGUAUCCAAAUCCGAAAGACUAACUAAUUUUUUGGGGUCGAUCCACCGGCCACAGACAAGCUCUUUUACUCUAUAUGAGAGUUACAUAUCCAAGCCGCCUAAAUAUAUGCAGAUGAAUAAAUUUAAAUGGUAGGUUUUGGACUCGGGAUGCUCAGCACGUUUUCGAACCUGUCGUAUCACUCGAUAAUAUAUGUAUGGUUAAUUAUAGUAAUUAGUGUAAGUGGAUAUAUUAUUAUUUCAUGUUGAACAUAGUUAAUAUCAUGUGAACAAAAGUCUUUAUUUUUUGUCUUGAUGAACAAAGUCUACGAAGAUUAAACAAAAGUAAAUUUUAGAGACAAGUCGAAAAGAAAAACGAAAGAGAUCACUUUUUUUUUUUGGUAAAAUUUAAUAUUUAUACCAUUUUUGAAUUUUUUACAUUGUUACUAGCAACUUAUUACACAAAAAAGAAAAGGAACAACAACAACACAGCUACAAUUUCAAAAAACCCGUUCAAGGCGGCUGAUAGGAAUCAAAGUAAAGAAGCAGCAGCGAGGGAACAGAAGGAGAUCUCGCAGGGCUGGAGCGCAGCCGAUCUCUAAUCAGGCGGUCAGUUGCAGCACGGAGGACCGGCAAUGGAGUUGAGACGGAGGUGAAAAUUCUUGCAUUUCUUUCUGAUGUAGCAUACAUUCCAUUACGAUUUAGCUUUGGCUUUCCUUAUUUCUUGUCUUGCAAGUUUACUUAUUCUUUUAGGAUAAUUUCCUUUUCUUAUUCGAUAAAGGAUAUGUUAUAAAUCCUUUAUCUCGUUGGCUUUGGUGUUUUCGUUUUAUAUAUAAGUUGAUGCCUUGACAUUGUAAGGGAACAACUUCUUUGCAUUAAUAUAAUUUCAGAGCUUUUAUAAACUCUAACCCUUGUUCUCGGAUAGAGCUUCGCCUCUCAACGAUCUCAAGAAGGCACGUUACCUAGGAAUUCUCAGAAUCAAUAGGUUUCUUGCGCUAUACGUAGUCUAGACUACACCAGUUGGUAUCAGAGCCUCUCGGUUUUGAUUUCUUAAUCAAGCCAGACGAUCUUUUAUUACUUCCGCACAACCUCCUACAAUCCAUAUCUCACCAUCAUCAACGUUGCCACCUCGCAAACAAACACAAGAAGAAUUUCAAGAAGAAAUUCGUACUACCCUAGAAACAUUCACCACGGGUUUACACGAAACCCUUAUUAAUGUUAUUGAGACCGCCCUAACAACCGUCAUGCAACGACAGCAACAACCUCCAGUUAACCCUGCUAACCGUCGUUCAGCAGAAGACAAUUCUGAUAACGACAUAGCUGAAAACCUUUUUGCCGACGAUAACAAUCAGGUACGUCGUAACCAAGUUCGCAUCGCCCCUCCAGCUGAUCAUCAACUCAAUCGACGAGAAACUCACGCUGAAGAACGACGAUGGGAUUCCGGGUUUCGAGUGGAAAUACCAGAGUUCUCAGGCAACCUCAGCACAGAAGAAUUCUUGGAUUGGUUAUGUGCAAUCGAAGAAAUUCUGGAAUUCAAAAGAAUUCCCGAAGAUCAAUGUGUUCCAUUGAUCGCCUACCGUUUUAAAAGCCGUGCUAUGGCCUGGUGGCAACAGAUUAAAGAAUCCCGACGCCGAGCAGGUAAACCACGCAUUGACACAUGGGAACGUCUUAAAAAGCAUAUGCGCCGCGCCUUUCUGCCCUACAACUACGAAAGAACUCUAUACAACAAACUACAAUCUCUUCGCCAAGGAACAAGAACCGUCGAAGAAUAUGCAACAGAUUUCUUUCACAUGGUGGCUCGUACAACACUCGCCGAAACAGAGGAUCAGCUUGUCUCGCGUUUCAUCGGAGGGCUACGCUUUCAGAUUCAGACCGCAUUGCAACAAUUCAACCCUCUCACCGUCUCUGAAGCUUAUCAACGCGCGUUAGCAAUGGAGAUUCAAUACCGUUCAUCGUGGAACACCGGUAGUAAUCGCACUCGAACAACUACUCCAAAUACUAGCACGUCACCUCCUUCAGAUACAGCCCAAACUCGCCAAACGACAACGCGACCAGUUACUGCAACGAACACGGACUCAAUUGCUCAAUCUCGUCCUGCUCGUACCGGUGCUCUCCGUUGUUUCACGUGUGGUGAAACCGGCCAUAUCCAAUCAGCGUGUCCAAACAAACAUCGACGAGGUCUCUUAAAUCAAGACGUCAAUUUUGAUGAAGAACCAAAGUACGAUACUGAUGAGACAAAAUCGCAAACAGAGGAAGAAACAGAGUUUAUCGCAGGAGACACGGGAGCUCAUGCACUUGUUCUUCGCCGCAACUGUUUAUUACCUCGCGCACCAGAGGAAUCCUGUAAGGCACGCAUGAGCCACUUGCGGCCCUUUUUACACACAAACAAAACCAUCCCACAAGGCACGUUGAGUCAUUAGCAAUGAACAAUAAUGCCAUCGUAAAAAAAACAGUAGCAAAAUCGAUAAAAUAGGAAAGUUCAAAAUAUAGUUGUAAUUUGCACCAUAAGUUUCAAUUGUUUUUCUCAUAGUGCCUUAUGUAAAGAACAGUUUUUAUAAUUAAUACCUAGUACGUACUGUAUAUGUAUUUAGCACAGCAAAGUUAUCACCGGUUCUAAUCUUUUUCUUCGGUUCUUAUAUUCUCCCUCUGAACGAAACUAAUAUCCAAACAUGCAAAGAAUCGGGAGGAUUGGGAAGGUCAAAGAAAAUAACACACGACCGGUAAAUGUGGAAGAAACACGAGAAUAUUGGUGGUUUUGGAGACGGAAGAAAGAGAAACAGUAAACCAAGUCGUCUUACCUAGUGAUAAAAGGACUUCAGUUGGAGUUUUCGUUCUGGUUCCGAGUAGCAUUAGCCACCUAUAGAUAUUUUAAGUGACAAGAUUUCGUGGAAUUAAUCUUUGGAUUUAAAAAGUCUUUGAAAUCCUCAUGAUUAUCAGAAGAAAAAAAACAGUACAAGCAGAGCCAUAAAAAAAGGAAGAAAAGAGAGAAAUAGGAGAGUUUUCGUACGGUAUGGUAGGCGAGAGGCCAUACCGACGACGGAGGUUAAGUCUCAUCCUAAACGGGUUGAGAGAGUUUCACCUUUUGUUUUUACCGUAAAUUCAGUGUACUCCUCAGUAUAGAUAAACAAUGAUAAUAUCCAGAGCGGGCUCUUGAAAGAAGCUGAGGAAGCUGUUGCUUCCGGCCGCCACAAAUUAUCAUAAAUUUCGGUCUUACUUUUACAAAAAAUUCUUAUUAGCAUUAGUGGUUUGGGUGUUGGUUAGAAGGGUUAACCCUCGCGGGUUUGAUUCCCCCUUAAGACAAUAGGCCACAUUUUUAAUUUUUGCUUCUAGUCACAUAAUUUCUAGGACCGGUUCUGGUAAUAUCUAGAUAAUAAAAGUAUAGUGAUCAGUUUAAUCGGAUGUAUUAGGUUGAAGCAAGUACAUCGCAUCAAUUGGGUCGUAUCAAGUGUGUCGCAUAAAGUUGUUAUGGAUCUUACAUGUGAUCGUUGGGCUUAAAGCCGUGUAUCUGAUGAACCCUAGAGUUUUAGGAUGCGGAAUAUUUUUUAUAUAUAUUAUGUAUUCUUGUAAUCCUAAUAUAAAUUGAAUAUUGCCUCCAAAUAACAAAAAAAAUAUUAUUUCUCCACAUAGCCAAAUUGAUGAACCACGUUACAUAUAUUGUUGUGUCUUUGUUACAUCAUUUUAUCAUUUGUUUUAAUGCAACAUUAUGACCAAUCUUAUGCUUUAAGAUUUGAGUUACAGUUAUAAAUAAAGUUUCUAUCAAAAAUACAAGUGAAAUAAUAAAAUCCUAAACACUCCACGUACAGCUUUAUGUUAAUGCUAUACUUUUUGUUUGUAUAUAAACUAUUAUUUAUAUUUCCAAAACCACCAUAGCAAUAUCUUAUUCUUAUUUCUAGAAAUAAACAAUAUUAUCAACUUCACCUAAUUUUGUGUUAGUCAAAUAUUUUUAUUCCCUUUCUUGUUCCUAUUUUUGAAUUAUUAAUUUUAAAAUUAUUAUUUUACAUAAUCUUAUUAGUUGUAAAUUAUUUUUGGAUUGGAAAUAUAUAAAUUAUUUUGUUAUUGAUAUCAGAUAAUAAUAUCAUCAGUAAGUAUAGUUCUUAGAAGAAUAUAUAUUGCAACUUAUUUUUUUGUUAAAAUUUAUUUUUAUACAUAUUAAAAAUAACUUUUUAUUAUUUAUUUAUUUUUACAUAGUUUAAUAUUUUUGUUAUUAAUAAUAAUUCAUUAUUAUAUAUUUAUAUUUAUAUUUAUUUUAUUAAAAACUACUAUGCAAUUUAUACAUCAAAAAUAUUACCAGUCACCAGUUUUACUAAAAUGGUAACCUUGCUUUUACUGCAAAUUAUAGUUUUUACCAUAUAAUUUUUAUUGUACUUAUGUGAACAAAAGUCUUUAAUAUUUGUUUUAGGUGAAGAGAAGUCUCAAAACCAUAGUAUUAACGGGGAAAAAAAACAAAAAUAAAUUUAAAGAAAAAAUCAAAUGUGUGUGGAAAACCAAUGUAACUUUUUUUUUUUUUUGAUAAUCCAGGUAUUUGGACCUUUCACUUAAUCCGACUAUCUCAUCGCGUCCAACCGAAACUGGCGAGGAAGAUCCUGGAGGCCAAACGGAAACCAUGUUAAAUCUGCUGUGACCGGAGCUUGAACUCGUGAUGGCGGGCACCUCAACCGAGGUUCUUUUACCACCAGACCACGAGAUCCGGUUAAACCAAAUCUCAAACAAGUUAUAGUAAAUAUUUUCGACCAAAAAAGUUAUAGUGAAUAUGAAAAUUAAAAGACAUUAGUAUUAAAUAGAAACAAAGAAUCUCAAGAUAAUAAAACAAUAAUAAUUUCGAGAUAGUACCAAAAUAUUAGUAAUAAUUUUAGUGUAACUGGACAUAGGUAAACUUAUGUGAAAAAAAAAAGUCUUUACUUUUUGUCUUUGGUGAACAGAAGUAUUCGAACAUUAAAAUUUACAGAAAAAAAAAAGAAUAAAUUUAGAGACAUACCAAAAAGGAAAAACAAAAGUGGUCACUUUCAAAGCAGAAUAUUGGACACUUAACCGUGUUUAAGGGUUUUGAUGAUUUUUCAAUAUUUUAUUCCCCUAGACAUUAUUAUUUGCAUGUGUCAUUACCACAUGUAUUUCACAAAAACAAUGACAUAGUUUUCAAAAAAUGUGACAUUGCAUUAAGCUGAUUGUGACAUGUAAAAUUUCUUUAUGAAAAUUAUAUUUGGCUAGAAUUUUUAAUAAGGUAAUGACUAUUAAUUCUUAUACCAUUAUUAAACAUUUAAAUUUUAUAUAAUUAUAUUUAUUUUUGGCAAGACUUUUGAAAUAUUUAAUAAUUAAUAAUUUUUAUAUCAUCAUUAAAAUAAAAUAUAAAAUAAACUAAACAUAACUACACAUAACAUUUACAUUAAUUUAUAAAUUAAGAAAAUAAUUUAUAAAUUAAUUAAGAACAUGAUUUUCCAGUAAAAAUAUUUUAACUAUAAUAAAAAACAAAAAAAUUAUUAAAAUUUAGGUAUUUAAAUAUAGACAUAUUUAAUUUGCAUAUGUGUCAUCACCAUAUUCAUUUUAAGAAAAUCACAUGGCUUUUGAAAUUAAAAUAUUAAUUAUAACUGUGUAUUAACAAAUAUAUAACUAAAAAAACACUAAUCAUUUUUUUUGUUAAUGAUUAAUGAGUAAAACAUUUAUUAGGACUUGUCGGUUGAUUAGGUUAAUUAACAAAAACUUUAUGGGCUUCAUGUAUUUAACUAAAAAAAAUAAAAAUGUAAAUUAUUAAAUUUAAUAUAUAUAAAUAUGGACAUACUUAAAAUUAGGAAAUAAGAGAAAUAUUUAAAUUAAAUAACCAAUAAAUAUAAUAAAAUAUAAAUAAAAAAUUUAUUUUUAGUAAAUGUAAUUUUAACUCUACUAAAAUUUAAAUAAAAUAAAAUUGAAAUAGGUAACCAAAUUUGAAUUUUUUCAAAAAAAAUUACAUUUGUGAUUUAUCUUUUUCCAAAUCGGUAAAUUUAAAAUAUAAAAAUAAUAAUAUCAAAAUGUAAAAUAAGUCUUAAAAAUAUUAUAAAGUUACAGUAAAAGUACAGAAAAUAAAAGAAAUACUUUUUUAAAAUAAAAUAAAUACAAUAAGAUGCAAAGCUAAAAUUAGAGAAUAAUACAACACAAAGAUUAAAAUUUGAAGAAGUUUUCUUCUGAAUCAUUUUGCUUCUCAUUAUUCAACACCAUUUAUAUUUGGCUAUCAUUUCUAUGAUAUUUCAAAUUAUUUUUGCAGUUUUGUUUGUUGUAUAAUAUUGUCCAUAUUCCACAUUAGAUCUACAUGUGUUUUUGGAAAAAAAAAUCUAAUUUAUUGAUUCUCUCGAAAGAAAUAUUAAAUGAAAUUGCUAACUUUUAACAAUUCUAAAAUAUAUCUAUACAAUAAAGAAAUUGUAUUUUCAGUGAGGAAUGACCAAUAAACAUAUUGAAUUGUAAACAUAUAAUAAUUUUUUGGUCGCAUCACUUCUAUACCCAUGAGUCCAUGACAAUGAACACUAUAGUGACUUCCAUGGUAAUUGUUUUCACAACAAAGUUUUUUUUUUUUUUUGCUAAACUGUGAAUAUUCAUAUAAUGAAAAGUUUAGGGUUACAAAAGCCUAAUUAGUGAAUACCUUGGCAAAAAGAAAGAAAAAACAAGGUAUACACAUAGUUUUCGAUUAGAGAAACAUGUUUAUCUAAUCCAAAGUUGCAUAAGGGGGUUGAACUUCCUCCUAUGUCUUCUCGCACUGAUUGUGUUGCGGAUAUCCCUGUCAAUGCUGUUGAAAGUCGUUUGAGGAGGUGUGAACCCUGAGUUGUGCACGGCUGAGUUCCUUUGCCUCCAGAUGUUAUAGAGAACGGCUUGGGUCGCAAGGUUCCUGAGGGUUGACGGUGCUGAAGCAAAGAGUUCCUUUGCCUCCAGAUAUCGAGACUCUAUCUCUUUGGGUCACAACAAAGUUGUUAAGAUGAGUUCCUUACCACUUACUCCUAGUUUCUAAACAAUUAGAUUAAGUUGCUCACCUCCUAUCUCAGUUUCGAAUGCAAGACUCACAUGCUUCACCGACGCGGCCUGGAACUCUGCCUCUCGUAAAGCAGGAGGUGGCUGGUACUGCAUUGAUCAUGAGAAUGUUGUUAUCUUGCAGGGUGCCCGAGUCUUUGAGCGUAUUUCCUCUCCACUAAUGGCGGAAGCCAUAGCCAUCCGAUCAGCUCUCAUCCAUGCUCUUGAAGCUGGAAUCACAGAAAUCUGCAUAAAAUCAUAUUGUGAAGCACUUAUUGCUGCUAUGUCUCCGAAACGUUUUCCGGCGGAUCUCUACGGAAUCUCCCGAGAUAUCGAGACUCUAUCUCUUUGCUUCCUUUGUAUUUCCUUUUGUUUUAUCCCGAGGAACCUGAACUCUAGAGCCAAUUCCUUGGCUAAGUCUUUAUUAAACUCUUCUCCCACCAACUAGUUUGGUCAGGGUAGCAUUUACAAUAUUUGGUGUUCAAAAAAAGAAGAAGAUUGAGUUGCUUGACAUCGAUUAUAGACACAUAGUCUAUCCCGGAGAUUUCAAGAGCUGAUUGGAAAGGAAAAAAUUGAACUUUCAAUCCGCCUUAAAAAAAAUCCUCCUCUCAACAAAAGGAAAGUACAAAAGAUAGAGAAGCAUCGAGAGACUGAUCAUGCUUUGAUCAGAUUAGGGCUUGAGUAAUCUAGGACUUCUCCUUUAAGAUUACCAUUAACAUCGCAUGGAGAGAACGGUUACUCCCGUACAAACUUAUCUAUGUAUCUAUUGUUUAUAGCAUUAAAACCUUCUUUUUUCCUUAUUCGAUCAAAAAAUGUUUUGAUGCUAUAAAAAAAAUAAAACAAUUUAAUAAAAUGAUGAUAAUAAAAUAAUUCAAGAAAAAUAACUAACAAAAACAAUUGUUAAUUAUGGUGUGAUUAAUAUACAAAUUUACUCAAGACUGUAUACUAUCUGUUAUAUAUAACUGCAUGUACUUGUAAAAUUGUUAAAUAACCAUAAUUAUGAAAAUAAUAGAUAAAGAACAAUUUGUAAAAGCAAUGGAUUAAAAGAUUAAGUUAAAGUUGAAAUGUUGAUAAAUACAUAUAAAACAUUGGUUCGCCUUUACUAUUAGUGAAGUAUGAGUUAAGAAAUUUUUUUAACAAAAACAAAAAAAACUUUUUAAAACCAACACCACAAAAAUAAAACAUUUAAUAAAUAUGUAUAUUUUUAAUUUUAUAUUAAAUAAAUGCUCAAAGCCAAGGUUUAUUUUUCGAUUUAGUAGGCACGGCACCUAGUAAUAAUUCGUUCGUACGAGUUCAAUAUCUCCUCACUCUCUAUCUCGACUCUAUAUAAACUCUCUCGCGUCUUCACAUUUCCCACACAGCUUACAAAACAUGUCUUCUUCGUUUCUCUCCUCCACUGCUUCCUUCCUUCUUGUUCUUCUCUACAUUGGUUCCUUCCACGAGUCCGAUGGAGCUCAACAAGGAACAUACAUCGUUCACAUGGCGAAAUCUCAGAUGCCCUCGAGCUUCGACCAACACUCUCUCUGGUACGAGUCCUCUCUCAAGUCUGCCUCAGAAUCUGCUGAAAUGCUCUACACUUACAACAGCGCAAUUCAUGGAUUCGCCACUCGGCUUACUCCUGAAGAAGCCGACUCGCUGAUGACCCAACCCGGUGUCAUCUCGGUUCAACCAGAGCAGCAGUACGAGUUACACACCACUCGUACUCCACUGUUCCUCGGCCUCGACGUACACAACGCGGGCCUAUUCCCUGAAACCGGCGCAGCCAGUGACGUCGUCAUCGGAGUUCUCGACUCAGGUGUUUGGCCAGAGAGCAAAAGCUUCUCCGACGAAGGGUACGGUCCUGUUCCGACUACAUGGAAAGGCGAAUGCGAGGCUGGGACUAAUUUCACAGCUUCCCACUGUAACCGCAAACUAAUCGGAGCUAGAUUCUUCGUUCACGGUUAUGAAGGAAAGUAUGGACCAGUGGACGAAUCCAAAGAGUCGAGAUCGCCUAGAGAUGACGACGGUCACGGAACACACACAGCUUCAACCGCGGCUGGAUCCAUCGUGGAAGGAGCUAAUCUUUUGGGCUUCGCUAACGGGACGGCUCGUGGGAUGGCUUAUCGCGCUCGAGUGGCUGUUUACAAAGUUUGUUGGAAACCUAAAUGCUUCAGCUCAGAUGUUUUAGCUGGAAUCGAUAAAGCCAUCGAAGAUAAUGUCAACGUUCUGUCGUUAUCUCUUGGCAAAAGAAAGAGAGAUUAUACUAACCAUAUUGCCAUGGGAGCAUUCUCGGCCAUGGAAAAAGGGAUCUUUGUUUCCUGCUCUGCUGGUAAUGAUGGUCCCAGCCCUUCCAGUUUAUCGAAUGUAGCUCCAUGGAUUACUACUGUUGGUGCUGGUACCAUAGAUCGUGAUUUUCCGACACUAGUGACUCUUGGCAACGGGAAGAGUUAUAUUGGAGCUUCCUUGUUUAAAAAAGAUGCUCUUCCGCCUAAACUGUUGCCGUUUGUUUACGCCGGGAGUGCUAGUAACAAUGCUACUUAUGGAAAAUCUUGUCUCUCCGGAACACUAAUUCCGGAGAAGGUAUAUGGGAAGAUCGUGAUGUGCGAGAAAGGAGAGAAUGGUAGAGCUGAGAAAGGAGAGGUGGUGAAAGCUGCUGGUGGAAUCGGAAUGAUUCUGGCGAAUAGGGCGAGUAGGGGAGAAGAGCUUGCGGCGUAUGCUCAUGUGUUACCGGCUACAAAUGUGGGACAAAAAGCCGGUGACAUUAUCAGGCGCUACGUUAUGACGGAUCCGAAUCCGACCGUUUCGAUUGUGAUCCAAGGAACGGUCGUCAACGUCAAGCCCUCUCCUGUGCUUGCAGCUUUUAGCUCGCGAGGACCUAAUCCCAUAACGCCAAACAUUCUCAAACCGGAUUUGAUAGCUCCUGGAGUCAAUAUCCUCGCCGCAUGGACCGGAGCUCUGGGACCUUCCGGGCUAGCUUCUGAUACACGCCGCGU
RNAcentral lists this long non-coding RNA (18603 nucleotides) under Brassica rapa (field mustard). RNAcentral's name for it is "long non-coding RNA (BRAP_LNC006333)". Lineage: Eukaryota; Viridiplantae; Streptophyta; Magnoliopsida; Brassicales; Brassicaceae. The record is from RNAcentral.